RNAcentral lists this long non-coding RNA (1586 nucleotides) under Ananas comosus (pineapple). Its description in RNAcentral is "long non-coding RNA (ACOM_LNC039032)". Lineage: Eukaryota; Viridiplantae; Streptophyta; Magnoliopsida; Poales; Bromeliaceae. The record is from RNAcentral.
CUCUCUCUCUCUCUAGGGUUUUUCUCUCUCUAGAGAAAAACCGUCGAUUCGCGCCGUUUUCGCACCGCGCUCGUUGCUCGCGGAUUGGAGGACUCAAGGAAAGUCUUUGGCACGUGGGGAGAAGGUGUUUUGCUGUGUUUCCUGUGAGGUUACUACCUGAGAAAGCUGAAUCUCAGCUUUAGAGAGGUAAUCAACUAGAUUUCUCUCUAGUUUGCCGUUUAGUAUUGAAAUUACACGCUGUUUUGGUUUUGUUGCUUCUACUUGAUUUAGAAGAUGUUUUCAGCAGUAAAGAUGAGUUAUUUUGGCUACCAAUUACCUACUUUAAUUCAGGGAAAACUUGUUUUAAAGCUUGAUGAAGAUAAUUAGUAAAUUAUGACUCGAAUUCGAAGAUAUACGCGGUUUAAUCGCGUAGUUGACGCAGUUUCGUAUGAUCUCUUCGCAGCAGGUUGUUGAGCCUCUUUGGGCUAAACUUAUACCCCUUAGAAGCUGGUUUGGAAGGUGUUCCAACUUCGGGUAAGCAGGAAUUUCAGCUUGGAAUUAAAUUUUGCGAGAAUUCGACUAUUAUAGCUUAUUGUCGUUGCCGUUUCGGUAUUGUUCGCAGCGAGAGGGUAUUUGACCCUUGGACCGUCUUCGACUGGCCUUGGAGGACCUUCUGGAAGCUUAACGUGAGGUAUUGAACUAAGCCAAAACAGGGAUUUAAGCUUUUCCAAUGUACAAAGUGUAAUUGCGCCGAAAUUGGCCUUUUCGAUUGUAAGUUUGAUACGAUAUGUAUGCUUCGUGUUCAGCAGGAUUGCGACCUAGUGGAGCUGAACUUUGGAACUCCUUGGACUUUUUUGGAGCCUAGUACUAGGUGGGUCGGACCUAACCAGAGCAAGUGGAGCUCCCCUAUGUUCUAUAUGUGCUAUAGAAUUAGUGUUGUUGUGCGCUUUGGUGUUUGAUAUAGGACUUGAGAAGUAAAUUGACUUGAAAUCUCUAUAAAGUAGAGAACACAUAUACAUGAACGUAUUUAUCUUUAUAUUCAAUUCAGUUGAAUGACUUAUGAACAAGUGUAGAAUACACUUAUGAAAUGUAGAGAACAAUGACAUUCUCCUUUACUCGCUUGAUUACAUGUAGAAAACUAUGACAUGCUUGUUCUUAUGUUAAUAGUGCCAUGAUAGUGAAAGAUCCUAAUGCCAUAUGUAAAUUAGCAUUACUCCUGUAAGCUUACUAAACUAGUGGAUUCUAGUUGUUGUUAAUAUUUGUUAUACUGAAAUGUCGAUCAAAGGAUCGAGAGCGAGAAACAUUGCAAAUGAAAACAUGAUAAUUGAGACAUGUUGGACUGUGAACUUUGCUUGCUUGCCAUCGUGCUCAUUCGCACACGCUUGUGAGGGUAGCUCCCUACAAGCCGGCACUCCGGAGUUGGCCUACGCGACAGUUGCUCGCCCGUGCGGGAUUGGGUGCCGAAGUGGAUUGCCGUGGGGAGUGUUUACUACCACGGGGCCAUUAGGCGCGGCGCAAGCUGGACUACCUUGAGUAGGUCCCUGUGAAUGAAAGGAAAGUACUAAAUGAAAAAGGACAGUAAUGAAUGUUUAUUACUUAAAGUGCAC